GGGGAAUAUUGCACAAUGGGGGAAACCCUGAUGCAGCAACGCCGCGUGAGUGAUGACGGUCUUCGGAUUGUAAAGCUCUGUCUUCAGGGACGAUAAUGACGGUACCAGAGGAGGAAGCCACGGCUAACUACGUGCCAGCAGCCGCGGUAAUACGUAGGUGGCAAGCGUUGUCCGGAUUUACUGGGCGUAAAGGAUGUGUAGGCGGAUAUUUAAGUGAGAUGUGAAAUCCCCGGGCUUAACUUGGGGGCUGCAUUUCAAACUGGAUGUCUAGAGUGCAGGAGAGGAAAGCAGAAUUCCUAGUGUAGCGGUGAAAUGCGUAGAGAUUAGGAAGAAUACCAGUGGCGAAGGCGGCUUUCUGGACUGUAACUGACGCUGAGGCAUGAAAGCGUGGGGAGCAAAC
Molecule: ribosomal RNA, 400 nt
Filed under: uncultured bacterium
Lineage: Bacteria
Description: bacterial SSU rRNA
Rfam family: Bacterial small subunit ribosomal RNA
Source: RNAcentral